RNAcentral lists this ribosomal RNA (253 nucleotides) under uncultured bacterium. RNAcentral describes it as "partial 16S ribosomal RNA". It matches the Rfam family "Bacterial small subunit ribosomal RNA", at positions 524 to 776 of the family's 1533-position model. RNAcentral also lists the same sequence under 2 other names. The record is from RNAcentral.
UACGUAGGGUGCAAGCGUUAAUCGGAAUUACUGGGCGUAAAGCGUGCGCAGGCGGCUUUGCAAGACAGAUGUGAAAUCCCCGGGCUUAACCUGGGAACUGCAUUUGUGACUGCAUGGCUGGAGUGCGGCAGAGGGGGAUGGAAUUCCGCGUGUAGCAGUGAAAUGCGUAGAUAUGCGGAGGAACACCGAUGGCGAAGGCAAUCCCCUGGGCCUGCACUGACGCUCAUGCACGAAAGCGUGGGGAGCAAACAGG